CGACCUAACGCCGGCCCCGAGAAGAGCGGGGUCCGACAGCCGCCAGCUCCGGAGAUCCUGGCGGCUCCCGAGCGCUCACCGUCCCCUUACUACCCGAACCGCUCACCUGUUUGGGCUGGUCCUUACCGCAAAAGGGCUCACAGCAGCCUGAAACAAAACGACACCACGAGAACAUUAAAGAGAACAUUAAAGAGAACCUGAAGGCGCCGUCCCCCCCCCCCAAAAAAAACCCGCGUACCGCUUCUCAGCCUCAGCAGCACCAGGGCCCGACAAAGAAACAGAACUCACUCCGUCUCCCAUACAGAACCGCAGAAACUCCCCCGUGGCUCCCGGCAGCCUCCGGAGGAGCUUAAGAGGCUUUGGGGCGGGCCCCGCCCGCGGCUCCCGACGAGGCGCAGCUGCGCCCGGCCGGCCGCGGCCCCGCGGCACCUGGGAGUCGUUGCCUCGUUAGCGCAGCCGGCCUCGUUAGGGACGGCCCGGGGCUCUGACAGUUUGACGUGCGGACUCCGGAUCUGAAUUAGGGACUUAAAUUACACUUUAAAGUACAGUUUGUUACGCGCUUCUCCUUCUCGCCGCACUGUGGGAUUCAUCGAUAAGUUAAGUAAUUGUGCCAAUUCAAACGGGUCGCUUUGCAUCCGACGCGACCGGCGCGAUAGAGCGUCUCCCCUCCGAAGAACGUCCCCGGCCUUAACGGUUUCCAGGGGCCCCCGCUGGAAUUUGCUGUUAACCACUUGCAAGAUACAAAGUGACGGCCAGCUGGAUGAAUAGGAGAAUGUAUGUGAACACCCGGAACUGACAGACCCGGCACGGUGCAUGUGGCUUGAAGUGGGCACUGAGAGAAAGCUCAGACAAUGUAUAUACAUGCUAUUAACAUUCACAUUAAUUUCCACUGGGACACGACUUAAUUAAGGUGAGCUGUACAAAGUUCAUCUCAUUUCCCUUUACGCUCCAUUCCAUACACAAUGUAUGUUACCAGAGAGAUACUGCGCUAUGCUUCACUACUUUAAUCACUGGCCUGUCCCAUUGUAGUUCAGGAACGCAUGCAAGUGUACUGUUCUUAUUAGAGGCACGGUCUGGAGAAGAUGGCCGGGGAGCUGAGCAUCAUUUCUACAUCAGCUGCUGAAGCGCCCACUAACUUUGGAUGUCGCCUAAACCUUCAGAUGGAAUCCUUGCAGGCAUUCCCGUGGGGAUCGGGAAAUUGCAGUAUGCCGGAACUACCGUUGCUGAUGUGGGGCGAGCGCUCUGAAGUGCACUUGGAGAAGAACGCAUUCCAACCCCGCAUAUAUGAAAAGUUUAAUAUUUUAGACAGCUAGAUGAAAUGCUGGGGUCUUGGUGCAUUUUGCUUUGGCGGUCCAGGCUUUUCAGCAUCUUAGGGAAAUGUUUGGAAAUGAAUUUUAUUUUCACAACUGUGGUACAAUUACAAGGCGGGGAUGUUUCACCCUUCUCACCGAGGUGCCCUUGGUGGUGGUGGUCUGUAAAUGGCUAUAGAACUGACAGAGAAGUCUGCAAGCAUUUUCUUCGGUUCUGAUUUUUAUUCUUAUUUGUUUUAACAGAGAGAUAAAAACCAGCAUUGUGCAUGUCCUUGCUCUGCGGGUUGGGGAUGUAUCGUUGUUGUUGUCGUUGUUUUCCUGGGAAGUAAAACAGGGUAGGAUAUUGGAAAUAAGGGCAAGUGGAUUUAUUGCUGAGCGAGUUGUACGCCUGUUUGACAGAAAAUUCCUGAACUGAUCAGUGUUGGUGGAAGUUGGGGCUGCCUCCCGAUGUUUCCUGAGCCUUCUAUUUAGUUUGGAGUUCUGGGAAGUAUUUGUGGGCUUAAUCCAUUUACGCUUUUGAUAGGUAAAUGCAAGCCAUGAGUUACGGUAAAUUAUUGCUAAGAAAAGAUGAAUGGAAGAAUGGAUGUUUCAUUUUACUAUAUAUGCUGGGAAAGGUUGUUCUUUCUUUCAGCGUAUAACUCUGCUUUUCCUCGUACAACCUAUUUACAGGGUCAGACUUCUUAAUUUAUUUAUUUUUUUGUUUCUGUAUUUACUGUAAUUAAAGCCAAAGCAGACAACACUUCUUCAGUCUUCUGCAUUUACUGAGUGCCUUUAGCAAACACGCUGCAAGGCAUAGCCGUUAGAUGAGCAUUUCCAACCAUGGUGUGUAAAUGAGUUAUAAAAUACAAGCAACUCUAUAAAACAAGAAAAUCCUGAGUUAACAAAUAAAUGGUGUCCUUCCUAUAUCACGUAUAAGCUUUUUUCAUCCUUCUCGUAGGGUGGUAUGGUAUCUCGGAGCUCAAAAGGGAUUUUCGCUGUAGGGUCAGAGAUGGAAGGUGUCACAGUGAAGAACUCCUUCAAAU
Long non-coding RNA from Gallus gallus (chicken), 2332 nucleotides. The record is from Ensembl. Lineage: Eukaryota; Metazoa; Chordata; Aves; Galliformes; Phasianidae.